RNAcentral lists this long non-coding RNA (1024 nucleotides) under Oreochromis niloticus (Nile tilapia). RNAcentral's name for it is "lncRNA (ENSONIG00000041317.1)". The record is from RNAcentral. Lineage: Eukaryota; Metazoa; Chordata; Actinopteri; Cichliformes; Cichlidae.
AAACAUCAAUGAGCAUGAACUAAGGAGCUGGGGAAGAAAAUUGACUGAACUUCCUUAAGUUUUUUGAAAUGGUUUCAACCCUCAUUUGAGGAGUGUCUUUAGUUUUAAGACCAAAUGGCAGAGAUUCCCAGGAAUUUAAAGAAGUCCAAUUGCUUUCUUUUCCAAGCUCCUUAGAUUACUAUGACCUGGAUGAAUGAGAACCUACACAUACAUAUUUCCUUGCACUUUGGGAGGAACAUUCUUGAACUGCUGUGAUAUGAAAGGGAAUCAAGAAAACUAGCAGAAUAUGGAAACCACCUUCCCUUUAACCUAAGACGCAGACAAAGCAGACUUGUUUCCAAGAGUUUGCGCAAUGGAUCCACGGUCAGGGAACAUAGAGGGAAGCUGAUUCUGCAGAGAGCACAAAACCGGCUUUGAAGUGAAAGGAUAAGACACGUGCAUCUCAAUAUAAAUGCGCUGUGGAAUACGAUCAAUCAGACUCUGCAGGAACUCAAAACACUUCUAACCUCUGCUACUUUUGAAGAAGUUUCUGAGUUUGUGGACAAGGCUCAGCUCGUCCAAGACAAAAAAGAAAAGAAAGACAACUUCAUUUAUUUAUGAUUUAUAAUUCAGAGUUGAUACCUAGACCAUAAAGACAAGAACAGGAAGACACCACAACCAAAGACAGUCAGGAAAAGUGGGUGAUCAAUUUAUCAGACAGGAAUCUCACUGAACCUGAAAAGAAGGCACUAGCCAAAGGACCCAAACUGCUCUCAGUGUCAAAAGACUCCACCUCCAACCUAAAGAAACAUCUGAAAAUAUCCUCCAAUCCAUCAGCGACCACUAGUUGUCCGUGUGAGAUGGAUUUUGUGAGCAGUGACACCAAAGGUGCUGGAGAAGAUUGCAAAUGGACAAAAACUCUGUAAUGGCAAAAAUAAAAUGACAUUGCUUCUGAUGCACUAAGUGACCAAUAGUGCCAUUAAUCUUGACCACACACAUAGGGACUUCCUUGUCAUUGCAUUGCUUUUCUAGUGGAUCUUUAAAU